This 253-nucleotide ribosomal RNA is filed under the name uncultured bacterium. RNAcentral's name for it is "partial 16S ribosomal RNA". It matches the Rfam family "Bacterial small subunit ribosomal RNA", at positions 524 to 776 of the family's 1533-position model. The record is from RNAcentral.
UACGAAGGGGGCUAGCGUUGUUCGGAAUUACUGGGCGUAAAGCGCACGUAGGCGGCUUUGUAAGUUAGAGGUGAAAGCCCGGAGCUCAGCUCCGGAAUUGCCUUUAAGACUGCAUCGCUUGAAUCCGGGAGAGGUGAGUGGAAUUCCGAGUGUAGAGGUGAAAUUCGUAGAUAUUCGGAAGAACACCAGUGGCGAAGGCGGCUCACUGGACCGGUAUUGACGCUGAGGUGCGAAAGCGUGGGGAGCAAACAGG